Molecule: non-coding RNA, 72 nt
Organism: Amniculicola lignicola CBS 123094
Lineage: Eukaryota; Fungi; Ascomycota; Dothideomycetes; Pleosporales; Amniculicolaceae
Source: the annotation of a GenBank genome assembly
UUCUCAGUAGUAUAGUGGUCAGUAUCCGCGCUUGUCACGCGCGAGACCCAGGUUCAAUUCCUGGCUGGGAAG